UACGGAGGGUGCAAGCGUUAAUCGGAAUUACUGGGCGUAAAGCGCGCGUAGGUGGUAGACUAAGUUGGCUGUGAAAUUCCCGGGCUUAACCUGGGCAGGUCAGCCAAAACUGGUCAACUAGAGUACAGUAGAGGGUAGUGGAAUUUCCGGUGUAGCGGUGAAAUGCGUAGAUAUCGGGAGGAACAUCAGUGGCGAAGGCGGCUACCUGGACUGAUACUGACACUGAGGUGCGAAAGCGUGGGGAGCAAACAGG
RNAcentral lists this unclassified non-coding RNA (253 nucleotides) under uncultured Gammaproteobacteria bacterium. RNAcentral's name for it is "contains 16S-23S intergenic spacer region". It matches the Rfam family "Bacterial small subunit ribosomal RNA", at positions 524 to 776 of the family's 1533-position model. Lineage: Bacteria; Pseudomonadati; Pseudomonadota; Gammaproteobacteria. The record is from RNAcentral.